RNAcentral lists this RNase P RNA (317 nucleotides) under Candidatus Bathyarchaeota archaeon. Its description in RNAcentral is "RNase P RNA component". It matches the Rfam family "Archaeal RNase P". Rfam says of the family: Ribonuclease P (RNase P) is a ubiquitous endoribonuclease, found in archaea, bacteria and eukarya as well as chloroplasts and mitochondria. Its best characterised activity is the generation of mature 5'-ends of tRNAs by cleaving the 5'-leader elements of precursor-tRNAs. Cellular RNase Ps are ribonucleoproteins. The record is from RNAcentral. Lineage: Archaea; Thermoproteati; Candidatus Bathyarchaeota.
GCGAGCCGGUGGGCGGCUACAGGACGUGUGACGUGGUCCUGAGGAAACUCCAUCCACAUGGCGGAAAAGCAUAGCAUCACUGAGAUGUCCGGGGAGACCUGUGACAACAGCGCAGAAACGAGGAACCCGAGUCCAUGGAUUGAGAUGCGUGAUGGCUAACGCCUGAGCAUUGUCAUGGGUUUACGGGGUGAAACGAUGGAGCUGUUGUUAUGCUGUGAAAGGAGACAUAGGCGCCUGUGAGCUUCCGUCCGAAGGCGCGGGUACUCCGAUAAGACGGAUGGCUGCCACGAACAGAAGAUGGGUUACGGCCGGCACAC